RNAcentral lists this ribosomal RNA (99 nucleotides) under Danio rerio (zebrafish). Lineage: Eukaryota; Metazoa; Chordata; Actinopteri; Cypriniformes; Danionidae. The record is from RNAcentral.
AUCCACAGCCAUUUCACCCUGCAGCCCAAGACAGCAGGGCUGAGUCUGGUCAGUACCUGGAUGGGAGACCUCAUAGGAAAAUCUAGGUUGCUAUUGGAA